This 83-nucleotide ribosomal RNA is filed under the name Corynebacterium aurimucosum. RNAcentral's name for it is "partial 23S ribosomal RNA". Lineage: Bacteria; Bacillati; Actinomycetota; Actinomycetes; Mycobacteriales; Corynebacteriaceae. The record is from RNAcentral.
ACGAUGGGGUUGAUAGGCCAGACCUGGAAGCACUGUAAAGUGUGGAGGCUACUGGUACUAAUAGACCAAAACAAACACACACA